GACGGAGGAUGCAAGCGUUAUCCGGAAUGAUUGGGCGUAAAGCGUUCGCAGGUGGCUGUUCAAGUCUGCUGUCAAAGACCGGGGCUUAACCCUAGAAAGGCAGUGGAAACUGAACGGCUGGAGUGCAGUAGGGGUAGAGGGAAUUCCCAGUGUAGCGGUGAAAUGCGUAGAGAUUGGGAAGAACACCGGUGGCGAAAGCGCUCUGCUGGACUGCAACUGACACUGAGGGACGAAAGCUAGGGGAGCGAAAGGG
This 253-nucleotide ribosomal RNA is filed under the name uncultured bacterium. RNAcentral's name for it is "partial 16S ribosomal RNA". It matches the Rfam family "Bacterial small subunit ribosomal RNA", at positions 524 to 776 of the family's 1533-position model. The record is from RNAcentral.